This 115-nucleotide ribosomal RNA is filed under the name Periophthalmus magnuspinnatus. Lineage: Eukaryota; Metazoa; Chordata; Actinopteri; Gobiiformes; Gobiidae. The record is from RNAcentral.
UAUUGCAGCAAUACCACCGCGUCAAUGUCUGGUCUUGUCUAAUCUCAGAAGCUAAGCAGAGUUGGGUCUAGUUUAUACUUGGAUGGGAGACUGCUCAAAUGAAAGGCCACAAUGG